This 240-nucleotide unclassified non-coding RNA is filed under the name soil metagenome. RNAcentral describes it as "partial contains 5.8S ribosomal RNA, internal transcribed spacer 2, and large subunit ribosomal RNA". The record is from RNAcentral.
AACCUUAUGGACCUGCGGGCGUAUACCUGCGGAGGGAUCAUUAACCUUUCAAAUCAGGGUGCGGCGCGGCCCCCGAGGAGCGGAAGCAAUCCUUGGGAGGUAUGCGGGGGCUUCGAGCCCCCCAUUUACGCACGCACGACUGCCAUCCUUACUUUACGAGCACCUUCUGUUCUCCCUCGGCGGGGCAACCUGCCGUUGGAACCGAAUAAACUCUUUUUGCAUCUAGCAUUACCUGUUCCG